Long non-coding RNA from Clupea harengus (Atlantic herring), 602 nucleotides. The record is from Ensembl. Lineage: Eukaryota; Metazoa; Chordata; Actinopteri; Clupeiformes; Clupeidae.
UAGUGAAGUGUAUCCUCACUUUCAUACAGUUAUUGUUGUAAUCAAAGCUUUUAAAGAAUGGAUCUCUGCAUUAAGGGCCUGACCAGAGCACAGGUGGCCUGACAGAACACGCUUCAAAGUUGUCACUUUCAAAAGGGUGGCAUUUUAACCCUGUCAGUCCAAAAUGUCUAAAACUUGGUACCCAUGACUUAUUGCUCAUGGGAAACAAAAAAGUCUCAAGAACCCAUAAUGUCACCAGCAUGGAUAUUUCUCGACAGUGACAAUUUGUGAAUAAUUUAAAAAAAUGACUUCAAAUCAGCCAUUGAUCCAAUUAUCUGUCCAAUGUUGUGUACAUGUAUGAAAUACAUGUCAGUGUCAUGUCAAUUUUGUAAUGAUUGGAAUGUUGAGGAGGAACCCGCCAUUGCUGCCUGCAGCUAUAUUUAGGGUUCCUCCGUCAGGAGGAAACCUAUUGUUAUUGUAGGUAUUAUUAGGGUUCCUCCGUCAGGAGGAAACCUAUUGUUAUUGUAGGUUUUCUUAUUAUUAUGUUUGUACCAUGGGAGUCAAUGGCAGCCCCUAGAACCGUAUGGUAACUUUUUCUGAAAUUUGGCACACUCGUUAAGGAC